GUAGGUGGCAAGCGUUGUCCGGAAUUAUUGGGCGUAAAGCGCGCGCAGGCGGUCCUUUAAGUCUGAUGUGGAAGCCCACGGCUCAACCGUGGAGGGUCAUUGGAAGCUGGGGGACUUGAGUACAGAAGAGGAAAGCGGAAUUCCAAGUGUAGCGGUGAAAUGCGUAGAGAUUUGGAGGAACACCAGUGGCGAAGGCGGCUUUCUGGUCUGUAACUGACGCUGAGGCGCGAAAGCGUGGGGAGCAAACAGGGAUUAGAUACCCUGGUAGUCCACGCCGUAAACGAUGAGUGCUAAGUGUUAGGGGGUUUCCCGCCCCUUAGUGCUGCAGCUAACGCAUUAAGCACUCCGCCUGGGGAUACGGCCGCAAGGCUG
RNAcentral lists this ribosomal RNA (372 nucleotides) under uncultured organism. RNAcentral's name for it is "partial 16S ribosomal RNA". It matches the Rfam family "Bacterial small subunit ribosomal RNA", at positions 527 to 896 of the family's 1533-position model. The record is from RNAcentral.